CCUGGGAACUUCAAUGGUAAGAAAAAAAAUCAAACCUUUAACUGAAAUUUAGCAUUUCCUUCAAUUUUUUAAGAACAUUAUUUCAAGAAGAGCGCUAUGGGUUUCACCCAAGACUACCAAAGAGAUUUGUGACACAAAUAAGAUUAAGGACUCCUGCUCUAAGCCUAGAAAUACUUCUGCCUCAGAGGUCUGGGAAGCUCGAGAUGGGAGUGAAGGAAGAAGGAACAUCUGGGAACAACCUUGUAUAAUGUUUCCCAUCACAAAUCAGUAAAAUUUUU
This 278-nucleotide long non-coding RNA is filed under the name Sarcophilus harrisii (Tasmanian devil). RNAcentral describes it as "lncRNA (ENSSHAG00000025332.1)". The record is from RNAcentral. Lineage: Eukaryota; Metazoa; Chordata; Mammalia; Dasyuromorphia; Dasyuridae.